This is a long non-coding RNA of Phyllostomus hastatus (greater spear-nosed bat), 540 nucleotides long. RefSeq lists it as uncharacterized. Lineage: Eukaryota; Metazoa; Chordata; Mammalia; Chiroptera; Phyllostomidae. The record is from RefSeq and is a predicted model, not a curated record. The transcript has 2 exons.
UGUGGCCUGGAGUCCUGAACGGUUUCCUCCUGGAGAGCACAGAGGCUGUCCGGCCGUCCGCUGAAGGGCGGAACACCAGGAGCACACGUCUCGGGCACCGGCAAUAAAAGCAGUGUCAACGGGGCGCGACGGUAACAGAGUAGCCCUUGCCUUAAUGCUCUGGGCCCACCGCCCAGCUUCCGCGGCCAUCGGCCUGUUCCCCUAGUCUUCGAUUGGACUUCUGUACCGUGCUCUGGACUCAGCUCCGAAGAGGGAAAGCUGGCUCUGCCCUAGAAUAUGCACAUGAUGGUAGGACCUCAAGCAGCCACCCUGGACCAUGAAGCAAUCUUGAAGAUAGAAGCCAACACUGAGAUGGUGCAAUGAGGUAGUGAAGCCUGGUCCUUAUUCACUGCACAGUGACUGCAUCCAAACUUCAUGUAUGUGAAACAGAUGAAAGCCACUAUCUUGUUUAAGACACUGAUUUAAAUUGUCUUCAUAUGCAACAGAAACUGACCUAUCUGAUAAAAUAUAAUUUUAUUAAUAAAAUUUUUUAUUUUAAAA